Molecule: ribosomal RNA, 500 nt
Filed under: uncultured bacterium
Lineage: Bacteria
Description: partial 16S ribosomal RNA
Rfam family: Bacterial small subunit ribosomal RNA
Source: RNAcentral
AUUGAACGCUGGCGGAAUGCUUUACACAUGCAAGUCGAACGGCAGCACGGACUUCGGUCUGGUGGCGAGUGGCGAACGGGUGAGUAAUGUAUCGGAACGUGCCCAGUCGUGGGGGAUAACGUAGUGAAAAUUACGCUAAUACCGCAUACGAUCUAUGGAUGAAAGCGGGGGAUCGCAAGACCUCGCGCGAUUGGAGCGGCCGAUAUCAGAUUAGGUAGUUGGUGGGGUAAAGGCCCACCAAGCCAACGAUCUGUAGCUGGUCUGAGAGGACGACCAGCCACACGGGAACUGAGACACGGUCCAGACUCCUACGGGAGGCAGCAGUGGGGAAUUUUGGACAAUGGGCGAAAGCCUGAUCCAGCCGUCCCGCGUGCAGGAUGAAGGCCCUCGGGUUGUAAACUGCUUUUGUACAGAACGAAAAGGUUUCUACUAAUACUAGGAGCUCAUGACGGUACUGUAAGAAUAAGCACCGGCUAACUACGUGCCAGCAGCCGCCGUAA